AACGAACGCUGGCGGCAUGCCUAACACAUGCAAGUCGAACGAGAGCUUCGGCUCUAGUGGCGCACGGGUGCGUAACGCGUGGGAAUCUGCCCUUGGGUUCGGAAUAACAGUUGGAAACGACUGCUAAUACCGGAUGAUGACGUAAGUCCAAAGAUUUAUCGCCCUGUGGAUGAGCCCGCGUAGGAUUAGCUAGUUGGUGUGGUAAAGGGGCACCAAGGCGACGAUCCUUAGCUGGUCUGAGAGGAUGAUCAGCCACACUGGGACGGAAACACGGCCCAGACUCCUACGGGAUGCAGCAGUGUGGAAUAUUGGACAAUAGGCGAAAGCCUGAUCCAGCAAUGCCUCGUGAGUGAUGAAGGCCUUAGGGUUGUAAAGCUCUUUUACCCGGGAUGAUAAUGACAGUACCGGGAGAAUAAGCUCCGGCUAACUCCGUGCCAGCCGCCGCAGUAA
Molecule: ribosomal RNA, 450 nt
Filed under: uncultured bacterium
Lineage: Bacteria
Description: partial 16S ribosomal RNA
Rfam family: Bacterial small subunit ribosomal RNA
Source: RNAcentral